Molecule: unclassified non-coding RNA, 316 nt
Filed under: Hevea brasiliensis (rubber tree)
Lineage: Eukaryota; Viridiplantae; Streptophyta; Magnoliopsida; Malpighiales; Euphorbiaceae
Source: RNAcentral
GCUUAGUUAAACUCAAGGGAAGAUCAAUCUUUUUUUUUUUUUAGAGGAUUUGAUGGUUCAGAUUAUUAGAAUAUGUUUUGGGUUUGGAAGCUUUUGGUGUAUGUUUUAUGCUCAGCAGCAAAAAUAGCCCUAGCUUGCUGUUAUAUGCAUGCUAUAUAUUCCAUCAUUUCUUGUGUCAAGAGGAUUGGGUUUAUGGAAGUUUUUCUCGAAAACAAUCAUUGCUGGCAGAAGCAACUAGUUAGGGCAUUACCCAUGGAUGCCUUAGGGAAAGGCACUUUGGUCACAAACUCCAUCAAUUGCCAAGAAUCAUUUGCUG